RNAcentral lists this signal recognition particle RNA (265 nucleotides) under Peptoclostridium litorale DSM 5388. RNAcentral's name for it is "Bacterial large signal recognition particle RNA". It matches the Rfam family "Bacterial large signal recognition particle RNA". Rfam says of the family: The signal recognition particle (SRP) is a universally conserved ribonucleoprotein involved in the co-translational targeting of proteins to membranes. Lineage: Bacteria; Bacillati; Bacillota; Clostridia; Peptostreptococcales; Peptoclostridiaceae. The record is from Rfam by way of RNAcentral.
CUGUGCUAGAUGGGGAGGUAGCGGUGCCCUGAACCUGCAAUCCGCUGUAGCAGGAUCGAACACCAUAUUGAGGCUCAGAGGCUGCGGAGCAGCCCCGUGUAAGUGGCGAUGAUAGUCGGGUCCUGCGCAAUGGAGAGUCAUGAACCCCGUCAGAUCCGGAAGGAAGCAGCGGUAAGUGAUAAACUUCAUGUGCCGUGGGAGUGCCUGGCUUGAGUUAACUGCAUGGGUAACGUCCGUGGAUCUGAGUCGAAUUAUGGCCGCACAG